CAGCAGUCGCCGCGGGAAUACGUAGGUGGCAAGCGUUGUCCGGAAUUAUUGGGCGUAAAGGGCUCGCAGGCGGUUUCUUAAGUCUGAUGUGAAAGCCCCCGGCUCAACCGGGGAGGGUCAUUGGAAACUGGGAAACUUGAGUGCAGAAGAGGAGAGUGGAAUUCCACGUGUAGCGGUGAAAUGCGUAGAGAUGUGGAGGAACACCAGUGGCGAAGGCGACUCUCUGGUCUGUAACUGACGCUGAGGAGCGAAAGCGUGGGGAGCGAACAGGAUUAGAUACCCCUGUAGUCCCUGUCUCUUAUAC
This 304-nucleotide ribosomal RNA is filed under the name uncultured bacterium. Its description in RNAcentral is "partial 16S ribosomal RNA". It matches the Rfam family "Bacterial small subunit ribosomal RNA", at positions 509 to 807 of the family's 1533-position model. The record is from RNAcentral.